Molecule: ribosomal RNA, 497 nt
Filed under: uncultured Glomeromycotina
Lineage: Eukaryota; Fungi; Glomeromycota
Description: partial small subunit ribosomal RNA
Rfam family: Eukaryotic small subunit ribosomal RNA
Source: RNAcentral
CCAAUAGCGUAUAUUAAAGUUGUUGCAGUUAAAAAGCUCGUAGUUGAAUUUCGGGGUUCUACCGUUGGUCGGGCUAUUGUCUGUACUGGUGUGUAGAAUUUCUACCUUCUGGGGAACUAUCAUGUUAUUAAUUUAGCGUGGUAGGAAACCAGGACCUUUACCUUGAAAAAAUUAGAGUGUUCAAAGCAGGCUUAUGUCUGAAUACAUUAGCAUGGAAUAAUAAAAUAGGACGGUGGUCCUGUUUUGUUGGUUUCUGAAUCACCGUAAUGAUUAAUAGGGAUAGUUGGGGGCAGUACUAUUAAAGUGUCAGAGGUGAAAUUCUUGGAUUUAUUGAAGACUAACUACUGCGAAAGCAUUUGCCAAGGAUGUUUUCAUUAAUCAAGAACGAAAGUUAGGGGAUCGAAGACGAUCAGAUACCGUCGUAGUCUUAACCAUAAACUAUGCCGACUAGGGAUCGGAUGAUGUUAAUUUUUUAAUGACUCAUUCGGCGCCUUACG